GUGAAUCAUCAAAUUUUUGAACGCAAAUUGCACUCGCUGGUAUUCCGGAGAGUAUGCCUGUUUGAGGGUCAGUUUAAAUAAAAAUCGGUGUGGUUGCUGCCUUCCGUGGUGACGCACCGGAUUUGGGUCGUCUUGCCUUCGGUGAAGUGACCUAAAAGUUUGCAUGAUUUUUUUCGAACGUAUUUAAAUGAUUUCAGCAACGUUGUGAAAACCGAAUAUUAG
Molecule: unclassified non-coding RNA, 222 nt
Filed under: Glomus sp.
Lineage: Eukaryota; Fungi; Glomeromycota; Glomeromycetes; Glomerales; Glomeraceae
Description: partial contains 5.8S ribosomal RNA and internal transcribed spacer 2
Rfam family: 5.8S ribosomal RNA (bases 1-71)
Source: RNAcentral